Non-coding RNA from Gekko japonicus, 72 nucleotides. Lineage: Eukaryota; Metazoa; Chordata; Lepidosauria; Squamata; Gekkonidae. The record is from the annotation of a RefSeq genome assembly.
GGGGCUGUGGCUCACUGGUAGAGCAUCUGCUUCACAUGCAGAAGGCCCCUGGUUCGAUCCCCGGCAUCUCCA